This is a small nuclear RNA of Sorex araneus (European shrew), 115 nucleotides long. NCBI's taxonomy places the organism in Eukaryota, Metazoa, Chordata, Mammalia, Eulipotyphla, Soricidae. The record is from Ensembl.
GUGCUAUUGCUCCAAUCCAAACUAGCACAUGUACUAAGAUUGGAACGAUACAGAGAAGAUUAGCAUGGACCCUGCAUAAGGAUGACAACAGUAAAAAUAUGAUUAAAAAAUGGUA